Molecule: transfer RNA, 72 nt
Filed under: Bos taurus (domestic cattle)
Lineage: Eukaryota; Metazoa; Chordata; Mammalia; Artiodactyla; Bovidae
Also listed under: 2 other names
Rfam family: tRNA
About the family: Transfer RNA (tRNA) molecules are approximately 80 nucleotides in length. Their secondary structure includes four short double-helical elements and three loops (D, anti-codon, and T loops).
Source: Rfam by way of RNAcentral
UCCCUGGUGACUCAGUGGUAAAGAAUCUGCCUGCUAAUGCAGAGAACACAGGUUUGAUCCCUGAUCUGGGAA